CAGCCGCCGCGGUAAUACGAAGGGUGCAAGCGUUACUCGGAAUUACUGGGCGUAAAGCGUGCGUAGGUGGUGGUUUAAGUCCGUUGUGAAAGCCCUGGGCUCAACCUGGGAAUUGCAGUGGAUACUGGAUCACUAGAGUGUGGUAGAGGAUAGUGGAAUUUCCGGUGUAGCAGUGAAAUGCGUAGAGAUCGGAAGGAACAUCUGUGGCGAAGGCGACUAUCUGGGCCAACACUGACACUGAGGCACGAAAGCGUGGGGAGCAAACAGGAUUAGAUACCCCAGUAGUACCUGUCUCUUAUAU
Molecule: ribosomal RNA, 301 nt
Filed under: uncultured bacterium
Lineage: Bacteria
Description: partial 16S ribosomal RNA
Rfam family: Bacterial small subunit ribosomal RNA
Source: RNAcentral